GACGAACGCUGGCGGCAGGCCUAACACAUGCAAGUCGAACGAGUGGCGGACGGGUGAGUAAGGGAUGGGAAUCUGGCUUAUGGAGGGGGCUAACUACGGGAAACGGUAGCUAAUACCGCCUACGAUCGGUUGGGGCCAGGUGGGAUUAGGUAGGUGGUGGGGUAAAGGCUCACCAAGGCGACGAUCCCUAGCAGGUCUGAGAGGAUGACCAGCCACACUGGGACUGAGACACGGCCCAGACUCCUACGGGAGGCAGCAGUGGGGAAUAUUGCGCAAUGGGCGCAAGCCUGACGCAGCCAUGCCGCGUGUAUGAAGAAGGCCUUCGGGUUGUAAAGUUCUGUCGGUAGGGAGGCGUUACCUACAGAAGAAGCACCGGCUAACUCCGUGCCAGCAGCCGCGGUAAUAC
RNAcentral lists this ribosomal RNA (406 nucleotides) under uncultured bacterium. RNAcentral's name for it is "partial 16S ribosomal RNA". It matches the Rfam family "Bacterial small subunit ribosomal RNA", at positions 28 to 526 of the family's 1533-position model. The record is from RNAcentral.